Molecule: long non-coding RNA, 1971 nt
Organism: Lolium rigidum
Lineage: Eukaryota; Viridiplantae; Streptophyta; Magnoliopsida; Poales; Poaceae
Exons: 5
Source: RefSeq, a predicted model, not a curated record
CUCACUGCCAGAUGAUCAAUAGAGAAGGAGGGGCAGGAGGACAACAACAUAAGUUGGACCACAUGCCUGGUGGCAUGGAAGUACAAAAGAAAAAUAUCAAAUUCAUAUACUCUGCUCCGUCGCGGCUAUCUCAACUAUGGCGUGAGUGGACUGUUGGUGUUCAAAAGCGGCUUCGACUACUCCUCGACUUCGGUGUGCGGUCAGGCGUCUAGAGCCGGCGUAGGAUGGGGCGAAAUACCGGGUUGGCCUUGAGCUGGCAGUGGAUGUCCGCAGCAAGGUGGAUCCACUUAUAUAUCCAUGAUGUUGCCAUUACUUAAAACAAGAACAUCAUUACUAUGUAUUGUUGUAGGUAUAGGGUCACCCGGACAUCUGCAAUUUAGAUGAGAUGACAAGCUUUUAAAAAAGAUUUUUAUCUCAACGCGCAUGAACUGGACCAUUGGUAAUUUGUUGAUUUGCUUUCGGGGAAGUUAACUCUGGAUUUUUUUCUCCUGUUGCACCAGGGCGACCCAACUUGGUCAUUUUCAGGCCAUCUCUCUAGCUGCAUAGUCUGAUAUCUGGUCUCAUGGAAGAUGAUUCGUCUUGGGAGGCUCAUUCAUUUGAGCGCAUUAGAGUUCCUCCAUUCAACUUUCAAGUUGUUUCAGAGGCUAUCAAUGAAGGAAACUAACUCCCAUUUUCAUUGGACAAUGUUGAUAUCAUGGAGAAAAUUUUCACCUUCUUGCCAAUAACAAGCAUGAUUCAACAGCAGUAUGCAAUAGAUGGCAUGGUAUUAUCAACUCAAGCAGGUUUCUUUGGACGCACAUGUUGCCUCAGAGGCCAUGGUACGUCAUGUUCACCUCUAAUGAGACUGCUUCUGGGUAUGCUUAUGACCCCAUCCUCCGUAAAUGGUAUGAUUUAGAGCUUCAAUUCAUUGAUAAGAGCAGCUGUUUUGUCUCUUCUUCUAUACAUUGGCAUAUAGUCUUUAACUUCUAUUUCACGAAUUAUCUGUUUAUGCUAUACCUGGAAUAGAUUGCUCGUUAGAAUUUUUAUUGUCUUCCAUGUGAUUUUGGGUAGCCUCUGUAAAUCUUGUCCUGCUUAUUCUCAGGAGUUGUGACAGUUCAGCUGUGUGGUAAGUAAAUGGCUGGGGCAUAUAACAUAGAGCGCCAAUCUGUCCCAAGAUAUUGCUGUUUGUCCCGAUCGUUGUAGAAUUUGUGUAGUAAUUUGUAGGUAUCUGCUGGGAUCUGUGUGUAGGGUCUAUUACUGACUGCAUUGGUUUCUUUUAGGUUGACAGUGACUUGAGUUCCAUUUACUGGUGUAGGUUGUGUGUUGGUGAACGAGAGAGCAAGCUUUUUAGUCGCAUUGUAGAUGUAGAUGCUCCAUUUCUUACUGUCAAUGUGUAUAGCUUACUUUUAAAGCGUAAUACUCAGACAAUUCUUUUCAAGUCUUGAAGUAUAUAUCAUUGCAUUAGUUUUUAUCUUUGGAGCGUGUCUGAAAUUUCUUGAGGGCUUUUCUAUUUUCGUAUUAGUUUCCAUGGCCGUUUGUAAAAACACAAGGAAUAAUUCACUCAGGAAUAUGAACUGCAUGUAUAUGCAUUUAGUAGUGAAGCAGAUUUGGGGCACAUGGGCACGAGUACUCCCCAGUUUUUAAAAUAUUUAAAAAUUGUAAAUCUCCUUUUUUUAAAAUCGUCACAUAUAUUCCAUGACUACAAUGCAUGUCCUGAAUAUAUGGUUGUUCUAAUCCACGAGUCGGAGCUUCAGGUCUAUAAAAGAGGUCAAUGUACUGGCAGGUCGCAUCGGUCAUCUACUUUUCAAGCUCUUGUGAUAAUAUUGAUACAAUGCGGCAGUUUACGUAUCUAAAUGAGAUGGGUUUGAAAAUAGCUAGAGGUAAUCCACCAGACAAAGACUUAAUUAGAUUUUCCCCUACUUCCAGAUGACCAGCUGUGUAGAUUGAGAACGAAUGAGACUUGUUUUUUUUCGAAAUGGGGGAAAUAUCGCC